CCUACGGGUGGCAGCAGUGGGGAAUUUUGCGCAAUGGGGGCAACCCUGACGCAGCAACGCCGCGUGAGUGAUGAAGGCCUUCGGGUCGUAAAGCUCUGUCAGAGGGGAAGAAAUGCAGGUGGUGAACAACCAUUCUGUUUGACGGUACCCUCAAAGGAAGCACCGGCUAACUCCGUGCCAGCAGCCGCGGUAAUACGUAGGAGGCGAGCGUUGUCCGGAUUGACUGGGCGUAAAGCGCGUGUAGGCGGUCUUUUACGUCGGGUGUUAAAGGCCCUGGCUCAACCGGGGAAGAGCGCCCGAAACGGGAGGGCUGGAGGGCAGUAGAGGAAAGUGAAAUUCCCGGAGGAGCGGUGAAAUGCGUAGAUCCCGGGAGGAACACCAUUGGCGAAGGCGGCUUCCUGGGCUGACCCUGACGCUGAGACGCGAAAGCCGGGGGAGCAAACCGGAUUAGAUACCCCGGUAGU
RNAcentral lists this ribosomal RNA (464 nucleotides) under uncultured bacterium. RNAcentral describes it as "partial 16S ribosomal RNA". It matches the Rfam family "Bacterial small subunit ribosomal RNA", at positions 338 to 794 of the family's 1533-position model. The record is from RNAcentral.